CCAAGCCCACAGGCCACAGCGUCCCAUUCCACUCUCCUCCGUCCUCCCUCGUCAGCCGCCGCCGCAGCUAUUCUACCUCCCUCCUCUCUGUCCUAUGACCACGCCGCUGGGAGGAAGUGGCCGUUCGUGGCUCCAUACCGCUGUCGGGGUGCCAUGCAAGAGGUCAGGGGCCGCCACCACCGUGAGCCAGGACGAAGGGGACGCCCGUUGGCUAGCCUCCGGGCAGGAAGCCGACGACGAGUACGCCGUCAACAAGCCGCCAAGAGGACCUACCGGCCAGUCCCCUGUCGCUGAGCAAGGGCCGCCGGUUGCGUCGUCGUGGGAGGAGGCGCACAGAGGAGCAGCGGAGGAGGAGAUGAGGACACGCCCCCGGACUCCCUAUUUCCUUUUGGGCACCUUCCCUGAGGCGUCUCUCUCUCUUGGGUAGCUUCCAUACAAGAUUUGGACGAGGAAAAGGAGACCCGAUGCGGGGCAACGACGAGCGCGCUGAGCUGGCUGGCGCACACAUCCAUCGACGGCGAGCACAUCGAACGGCCACACAUCGAGGUGAACUUCACCCAAUCUCUCUCUCUCUCUCUAUAUAUAUAUAUGUGUGUGUGUGUGUGUGUGUGUGUGUGUGUGUGUGUGGUCACGGUGCAGCAUCCUGGACGGCGGCAGUAGCGGCAGUCAAUUUCACUGCACGCGUCGAGCGACGUGAGCGCAUCUGAUGCAGGGAAUAGGAAGGAGGCCAUGCGUGGACCUUUUUUCCUAUUGGUGCCAUGAGAUUUGUGAUAGAUGCGUGGAAGGCAGGCGGAUUCAGGAUUGGAUUGUCACUUUUUGAGAAGGGGGUACAGAAAUUCUUUGAGGGCAAGGGAAGCUUGCGCUACUUUUUGAAAGUUAAAGGUUGGGCUAGCUCAUUGACUGAUGGCGCUGGGACUGGAGGAGCACAAGGAUCCUCUUCUUUUCCAGCUCUUCGGGGUCGUUACGGCCGUGCACCAAUAUAUAAAUAAAUCUACUUAAGCUGUCUGAGCCGCAAGAAUGGACAUUUAAAUAACUCCAGAAUAUUGGGUACAUGGAGUUCAGAUUUGCAGAAGAUCAACCUCCAGAUGAUUAUGUAGUAGAUCUUGCAGGUUUCCAAGUAUGCCACUCUCUUGGUCGUGGUACUGAUUCAGGCAUGGGUACACUUUUGGUAUCAAAGAUCAGGGAGGAGUACCCUGGCGCAUGAUGCUAGCAUUCUCUGUUUUCCCUCACCCGAAGUAUCUGAUAUGUGGUUGAACCUUACAAUGCCACUCUUUCAGUCCAUCAGUUGGUUGAGAAUGCAGAUGAGUGCAUGGUUCUUGAGAAUGAGGCUCUUUAUGACAUAUGUUUCAGGACUCUCAAGCUGACCACUCCGAGUUGUAAGCGAAAUCUGUACCUUCUUAUUAUUAUUCUCUACGGAUGAAUAUGAGCAUGAUGUCAAGUGGAUCUUCAUAAUUCUGAAUAUUUGUAACUGCAUGUUAUUAUAUGCUUAAUAACACAAGUAUUAAUGCAUACUUUCUAUUCACAACCGAAAAAUUGGAAAAUGAUGUAGUUCAUUGGCUUGCUUUUUCUAUAAUGUCUGUCCAAACUAUUCUUGUAGUGCAGUUUUGGUAUUCUUAGACAUGAUCUGAAACUCUAAAUGGAUUCUUGUGCUUGAGUUAUUUGCUCAGGGCUUUCAUUUAUAUGGACUUGUAUUUUGGUUUCAAUGUGAUGCAUGCUUAUUGCCAAUGGACCUCCCAUUGCUUAUAUCCUACCAGUAUAGCCAUGCUCCCCGUCACCUUAUCUGUUGAAAGUGCCUCCCCAUGGUGUUGUUCGUCAAAAGCUUUCUUCCUCUUUCUUCAAAAUUACAGGAGUUGUUGCGCAAAAGUACAUGGUAUUUUUCCUUCAAUAUGUGUAGUUCUGUAAUAUACAAUAGUUCUGACCUGAACUCUGCUGACCAACAAAAUAUAUACCUCAUUACUCUAUGAUCCACUAACACUUUUUUAGAGUCUGAGGUUGCUUUGGCCUAAUGAAGGGUAUGCAGAGCAAUGCCUCUGCCUUAGUUCAAGAGAGCAAGGCAGGCAACAAAGAGGAGGGUCUGGCCGAAGUCAAGAAACAAGAGAACUCGACACCGACCUAGAGAAACUCUAUGUAGCAGGCCUUCGCCGGAGAGAUGGCCGAACGACAAUUGUCAAGUGCCUCUGGUGUACACGCUUUGUUGGCUUGUUUAUCCUUGCAUGUGGAAAUUUGGCUUGUCAGUUUUGCAUCGACUGUGGAAACCUCCUGGUGCACUAUCCAGUUGUAGUUCCCUUUCAUGUAAUUGUCUUCCCCCAAGUAAAUGUAUAACUAUGAUCUCACAUAUUGUCUCUACCCUGUUUAUGAGGAAACAAUUGGACUAAUAGUUAUAACAAUUUGGUGUUGGGAAAAAAGAUGGAAUGCUCAUUUAGUGACUUUUUUUCUUUUGCACCGUAUAAUGUACCUUUACUAUUUAAGUGAAGAUCCUUAUGUAUACCUAAAUCGUAUCUAAAACUUAGAGCUA
Long non-coding RNA from Triticum aestivum (bread wheat), 2515 nucleotides. RefSeq lists it as uncharacterized. The transcript has 4 exons. The record is from RefSeq and is a predicted model, not a curated record. Lineage: Eukaryota; Viridiplantae; Streptophyta; Magnoliopsida; Poales; Poaceae.